UGGGAGGUGUCUCUGCCCAGAGCAGGGCUGGGAUGGGAUGGUUUGGAAGUUUCCUUCCAUCCCAAACAAUUCUGGGAUGUUUGCAGGGUACUUUAGGAGCCACAGUGAAACCCAAGGGUUCCUCUGGUUCUCCCACACUCCUGGUGGUUCAUCCCAUGCCGCUGGAAGCCGGAAAACCCCCCCAUCCCAGAGCUGGAGUUACAUUUAAAUAUAUGGCCUUUUUUUGUUCAACUUCCCUCACAGAGUUGUUUUCCAAAAUAAUUUAUAGGGAAGUGUUAGAAUGCAAAUAAUAUCCUUUUUCUUUUCCAUAGACUCAUUCAACAUUUCCAUUUCCAUUUCCCUCCGAGUUGAUUUAUGGGAAUUCUCAGCAGCCUUAUCCAUAAUUCAUAAACAAUCCCUAUUUUUUUAUAUCCCUUAAGCUGCUUUGAUUCCCUCUUCCAUAUCCUUGAUUCUUUCCUCCUUUUCCCUGGAAAAAGUGGUGCUGUUGCUAUGGGAACUUCUCCUUCCCACCAGUUUUUGGAUUUUCUUUUUUUCCCUCCUUUUGCCUUUCAGAAGGAACUUUUGCUCCAUGACUGGAUCCUUUCCCUUCUCCCUCCCAGCUCGGCUGCUUCAACUGGGAAAAGCUUUUCCCAGGAUCUUAGCAAUGCAGGAGCCUUUUGGAGAUGUUGGUCCCAAAUCCACCAGCUCAUCCCACAAUUCCAGCUGGGAUGGACAGACAAGGAGGAGAUUCCCAACCUGCCCAGUUUUCCAAGUGCCCGAGGAAAAUGAUCGAGUGGGAUGAAGGACCAUGUUCCAGGAUGGAAUUGGCCAUCCAGCAGAAGGGACACGUUCCUACUUCCAGGGAAAUCCAGCUGAGCCAAGUUAUUCCCUGGUGGGAUUUGUUUUGGUGGUGGCCACAGGUGUUUUCCCCACUGAUGUCCAGCAGCUCCUCAUGCUUGGAACCAGGAAUUUCAGGCUCUUUGUGUAUCUCCACCAUUCCCAAGAUCCAUGAAAUCAAAGGAUGAAUCUCUUGGCAUUUCUCCAAAUCCAAGAUUUCCUGCUCAAGGAAUCAAAGAUUUCUCAGCCUCGGUGCAAUGCCAGCUGCAGGUGCUGGUUGGAUCAAAUAUUCCUGACCUGAGGAAUUCCCAGCCUCAACUCCAUGGAAGCAGGAGAGGUUUGGAGCAGGAAUCUUGUGGCUGUUGUGGGAUUUCCCUGUCUCCAGUUGAAUUAAUGAAGUGGAAUCUGGGAUCCUGGAGAAUUAAUCCAGUAUGCAAUGACCCUGCAAUCUGGAAUUUGUUGGCUCUAAUGGACUCUCAUGGCUGGGGAAUCUGAACUCCUUGAGAGCUCUCUCUGUUUUCUUGAAAAAACCCAAAAUCCAGCAAAAUUUCCACAACAACCCAAUUCCAGGCAGUGAUGCUGAUCCCGUGUCCCAGCCAGGGUUUGACAUUCCAGGAUUAUCCUUGGGAACUGGUGACAGAUUCCCUGCUUGUGAAGAGCUCUGACGGGUUUUAGAGCAUGGGUCCAGGCUGGAAAAGUGGGAAUUCCUUCAUGGACACAGGUGCUGCUCCUGUGAUGUAUCCAUGGUCCCAGUGAGCCCUGGAUUUGGGAAUAUUCCCUGCUGAGGCACUCGGUGCUCCCCACAAUGUUCUCCUCAUUAAAAGGUGGGACCCCAAGCAGUGACCCCCAAACUGCUCCCAUUUGGAUCCUCCCUGUGUGGAGGAGACCCCAAGACUCCCUGGAAUUGCAGGAAGGCCACGAUUCCCUGCUCCCUUUCCAUCAGCACUGGAAUAGGCACUUCUUCCCGUGCCCAGGAGAGCUGGAGAGGGAAUUUCAGCAGAUAGAAACAGGGAAUUCAUCCCUCCCUCCUCCCAGAGCAGCAGGGGGAGUGUCCAGAGCUUCCCAUCCUUCCUCCUGCAAAUCCAUGGAGCAACCGCCAAUAAAUGGAUCAGGCAGCUCAAGGUUCAUACUUCCAAAGGUUUUAUUGGAUUGUGUGCUUGAGGUAUCAUAGCAUUUCCCUCGCCUGCUGCUAAUUCCCGAUGGAAAAUCCCUGAAAGGGAAAGAUUUUCCAGGCAACUUUCAGCGGGACUCAGCAAAACGUUUUAAUGACGGAUUCCUGCUUUUAUUUCUGCUGAGGAGGCUGGGGCUGGAGACAGGCACAUGGAUCAGCAGGAAUUGCAGGGCUCAUAAAUAAACCAGGACGAAAUGAGAUUCUUAUUAAAAAAAUGGAUUUCUUUUCCUUUUUUUUUUUUACUUGCUUGAGAUUUAAUUUUUAAAUCCAAAGGAAAGGGAUGAAAGCAUCCGUUAAUUCAGCCCAUGAUGACUUCAGCAGAGAGAAUGAAAAGGAAGACAAAAUGUGCUUUUUCCUCCACGUAUUUGUGAAAUUCCUCAAGUUUUUCACAAUUCCUAAGGCCAGGAUGGUGUGGUCAGAAUUCCUGGCUUUUCCUUAUCACUCCAUAUUCGACUUGGGACAAAUAAAUAGAAAACAAUGGAUAAUUCCUGCUAUUUCCUGGUGCUGCCUGAAGCAACAUGAAUUUCUCCACUCCACAGCAUCCCAUAUAUUGUCCCAUAAAUAAAGAACAGGGUAUUCCCUCCGAAUGACACCAUUCCCAAUAUUUCUGCCUUUCUGUGGAAUUCAAAUCCCUCCCUCAGCAUAAAAACACCCAAGGAAUGAUUUUGUCACAGGCCAGGACAAGCUCUGAGUUCGAAGCUUCUCAGAAAAGCAAAUGAAAAGAUCCAAGGAAAAGAAUUUAAGGGAUAAUCAGGAGAGGAAUAAUAUAAGUUGGAAAGGCCAGGUUAAAGGCUGGGCUUGUUCCUGGGAGAACGGAAUUCCCACCUGGCUCCAACUUCCUGUCAGGAAUUGUAGGGAGCAAGAUCGAAUUCCUUUCUCUGUCACUGCAGUGGGUGGGGAACAGGGAAAAACAUUUCAGAUUUGGAUUUUCCAAGAUUUUUGGACUCUCAAUGCCAGGAUAUUUGUGUAAGAAAAUUGGAGGAAUAGAUUCCGGCCUUCCAGGACCUGAAGGAUCUGCGGGAAAGAUGGAAAGAGACAACUUCCAAGGGCAAGAAGGCUAAAACCCAGGCUAUAAAGAUAUAACUGGUUUGAGAGAGGGAAAGCAGGAAUCAAGGGAUCUGGAUGUCUCAACCCCAUGGAAACAUUAAAUUAAAUCCAUUAAAACAUCUAUUAAAUCCAGGCAUUCCAAUUCUCCAUGAACACAAACUCCUGGCUGAGGGUUUAUUAGGGUCCAGUUAAAAUAUCUGCGGAUUAUUUUCCUCCCUUUCUUACCUGUCCAAGGCACAGCCAUUUCCAGGGAAUGAGCAGCAAUCCCAUAUUCCGUGAGCACUCUGACUUCCAGUAUUUAUUAUUUCCCAGGGUGUAUUUUCCCACCUCAAACAUUUACAUGGACAUUUAGCACGGUUACUUAUUCCAGAGAAAAAACUGCUGGAUUUAUCCAAAUGUUAUUAUGUGCAGUAAAAAAACCCCUCAUUUUCCCAGCCGAAGCUGUGGUUUUAUCCCAGAAAAUUGGGCUUUUUAUUUAUUUCAUUUUCCUUCUCAGCAGUUCCCAGGAAUGCAAAAUGACAAAACAAUUCCCAGUACAAUAGAGGCGUUCUUGGGCUGCUGGAGUAACUCCUGGCAGUGGGAAGUUCAUGGAAAUCUCUGCUCUGGAGGUGGUUUCAGGAAUGGCAGAACAUCAAAAAUGCAUCGGAAUUUUGCCUCCAAUGUUGCCUGAAAUCGCCUGGAAGUAUCUGUGGAUUUUCCCCCCAAAGAGCCCGGAAAUGCAAAUUAAAAUUCAAUAAUUUGUUCAUUACCUUCCCAAAUGCAAAUAACGUUCUCUAAACGCUUGGAAAUAAAUGUCAUUGAUCCUUGGGAGGCCGAGCAGCUCCGCAGCUGCCAGCACUCUCCCUCAGCUCACGGAUUAAUUGUGUUCCCUCUGCUGCCUUAUUUCCACAUGCCAAAUUCCACAUGUUCCAGGUGAAAUUCACCUGAGGGGGAAACUUGACGUGCAGAGAUAUCGAAUGGCUUCAGGUUCCACUGUGCAGAAGGUCCAGAAUGACAUCGUGUUAUCCACACCCGCAGGACUGGACGCCCCUGCACGUCCCUGCCAGCCUGGAGAGGGGUCUGUGCUCAGUGGUGGGACGGUGACGCUCUGCAGGCCGAGCGGAGGGACCUUUGCAGAUCCUGCUGCCCACCCUCACCGCAGCCAAAGUCGCUGGCAAAGGAGCCUGGAUUCACUGCUCCACAGUUAGAAAGGCUUCUGCUCCUGAAACAGCUGAGAAAACAGGGGCUGAUACAAACGAAGUGAAUCGAUAAAAAGCUCGGUAUUCAUGGACAGAAACUCUCUGACUAAUUAAAGUUAGGAAGUGGUGUGUUAAUUACAGGCGGGCGGCACGGGAGUCGCCUCCUAGAGACGUGGCAGCCCCUCACACGGUGAUCUGCCCUCUGUUUAUUUCACCAAGAGUUCCACGUUAAUCCCAUACGUAUCUCCAGCACCUCCCAGCCCCGCUUCCCAUUAAAAUGCGGUUAUUAGUCCUGUGCACGUGCGCAGUUCUUUUCUUGAUUUGGGCCGUGGUCUGGAUUUGAGCCAGUGGUCUUGAAAGAUGAAGUCGGGGAUCUCUUCGUCACCAUGAACUUCCUACCUGCUGUUGUGGGCAAGCCUCGGGAAGCCUUCUGGAGACGGUCCAUGCCUCGUGCCUGUGUUUGAUCACGCAAUCUGGGUGCUGGCAUGAUUCCAUCAGCUUCUUUUGUCCUCAGGACAGUUCACGUACUGUAAGCAAAGUUUCAGACAGGCACAUAAGGGUAAAUAGCACUGUACUUCUUGGCUAAGUUCCUAACUCUUCGUUGACUUAUCUUUAGGUUCAAUCAGUACAAAUGGCUUCUGACUCUUGGCUAAAAGUUUAACUCUUCAUAAUCUUAACUCAGAAGAUGAUGUCGUUUAAAUGAUUUUCUCCUGUGCUUAUUAUCUACACAGUUGGUAACCCUGGCUCAGGUUCAGAACCAGAUUUUACAUGUGAUUCUAGUCCAAAGUGUAUCCAAAGACAUUCAUUUGGAUACAGAACUAAUAACUGACAUGUCAAUCAGAGUGAAAAGAUCCACAAAGUUUGUUUACAAUUUGAGAACUGACUCAGAUCUUACACUGGAUAACAUUCCAAGGUGAUUGUAUCUGCCCCGCCCUGGUUUCACAGUUACCAAACUGGCCCUGGACUAAAGAUUGUUUAUAAUGAUUGUAAUUACAAUUCUUGUUCAUAGAUCUAUACUGCUGUUAGACACAUCUUGUUAGUAGAUGUUUAGAAUAUUUAGAAGAGAGUCUCGACGAGGUAGAGGCCUUGUCAAGCCUCUGAAGUGGGGAAAUGAAGCCUUGGGUUUUAACUUUCCUGUUUCUCAGACCCCGCAGUGCCUGGUGUGUGACUCUGCAGUUCCUUGUACCCUGUUCACUGCUGCUCUCUGUGCCAGGCACACAGAACAAAGCCUCUCCGGGCCUGCUCUCCAAGGACACCCAGACCGUC
Molecule: long non-coding RNA, 5478 nt
Organism: Corvus hawaiiensis (hawaiian crow)
Lineage: Eukaryota; Metazoa; Chordata; Aves; Passeriformes; Corvidae
Exons: 4
Source: RefSeq, a predicted model, not a curated record